AAAGCAGUGGACAUCCAGAGUCGAGAGGUGAGUUAGACACAGGCACAGUGUCACGUAGGUGAUGGGUGUUUUCUGUGUCUGUGUGUCACUUUAUUCCAGUGUGUUUCUUUCUUUCAGAUGCUGAUGGACGGAGCGGUGGACAUCCACAGGUGAGUUAGACACGCGCACGUUGCCACACAUUGCAGACAGCAGACUUUGCUGCAUUGCUCACUUGUGCUUCUCUGUUUCAGAUGCUGAUGGACAGAGCGGUGGACCUGCACAGGUGAGUUAGACACAUGCAUGUUGCAGACAGUAGACUUUGCUGCUUUGCUCACUUGUGCUUCUGUCUUUCAGAUGCUGGGAGACACAGCGGUGGACCUGCACAGGUGAGUUAGACACAUGCAUGUUGCAGACAGUAGACUUUGCUGCUUUGCUCACUUGUGCUUCUCUGUUUCAGAUGCUGGGAGACACAGCGGUGGAGCUCCACAGGUGAGUUAGACACAUGCAUGUUGCAGACAGUAGACUUUGCUGCUUUGCUCACUUGUGCUUCUGUCUUUCAGAUGCUGUGGGACGGAGCGGUGGACCUGCACAGGUGAGUUAGACACAUGCAUGUUGCAGACAGUAG
Long non-coding RNA from Amphiprion ocellaris (clown anemonefish), 604 nucleotides. The record is from Ensembl. Lineage: Eukaryota; Metazoa; Chordata; Actinopteri; Pomacentridae.